RNAcentral lists this ribosomal RNA (253 nucleotides) under uncultured bacterium. RNAcentral describes it as "partial 16S ribosomal RNA". It matches the Rfam family "Bacterial small subunit ribosomal RNA", at positions 524 to 776 of the family's 1533-position model. The record is from RNAcentral.
UACGUAGGGUGCGAGCGUUAAUCGGAAUUACUGGGCGUAAAGCGUGCGCAGGCGGUUUUGUAAGCCAGACGUGAAAGCCCCGGGCUUAACCUGGGAAUGGCGUUUGGGACUGCAAGGCUCGAGUACGGCAGAGGGGACUAGAAUUCCUGGUGUAGCAGUGAAAUGCGUAGAUAUCAGGAGGAAUACCGAUGGCGAAGGCAGGUCCCUGGGUUAGUACUGACGCUCAUGCACGAAAGCGUGGGGAGCAAACAGG